UUCUGUGUAUACAGUGAUUAAGCACAUAGGUUCUGGAGCCAGUCUGUUUCUUUCAAAAUCACCUCAUUGCUUUUGAAGAAUCAGGGAAACCCCCAUGAGACUACAGGUGUGAAGCAAGAUAGAAGCAUCAGUGCAAAAGAGUACUGCAUUUCCAAAUAAAGCCACUCACAAUCUUUAAUCAGGCUGUAAAUUUUAAGAAAUCUGGACCAAGACAGUUUGCUCCAAGAGUAUCCCACAAAUGCAGAUCUUCAGAGUGAGAUUUUAUUAUUGGAUUGCUCACCUGUCUGUUGCAUCUUCAACCUUUCUGGACUACAGCACCUGCCAACUGACCCCCACAUCAUGGCUCCAACGCUGGCUUCAUCACAUAUCUUCUCUCUCAGUCCCUUUGGCUCUCAGGGUGCAAUAGCUUAACAAAAUUGCUGAUCUAGGUGCCUCAGCAUUGUUUCUUUGUCAUAGUCUCUGUAUUAUCUUAUUUUGAGCCAUUCUUUUCCUGCAAAGAUCCUAACUGAAUGAGAUAACUACUUCAUAAGCUAUUUGUAAGGUUUAAAUAAAUUAAUGCAUAUUUAAUACAUGAAGCUGUGCCUAGUUUAUAGUAAUUACUCAAAAAUGUUACUUAUUUCUCCAUCCAAAACAUACAAACAAUAGUAUAUCCUUCAUGAGGACUUCUUGUGGACUAAAAAGGCAGUAUCUUUAAAGUGUUUUGCAGUCUCUGACAAAACCACACUAUUACCCUUACUCAAGGUUUUAAUUGAUUGUAUGUACACAAGGUUAGUCUAUAUGAGCUUUGGA
RNAcentral lists this long non-coding RNA (789 nucleotides) under Homo sapiens (human). Its description in RNAcentral is "HSALNT0341903". Lineage: Eukaryota; Metazoa; Chordata; Mammalia; Primates; Hominidae. The record is from RNAcentral.